AGAGUUUGAUCAUGGCUCAGGACGAACGCUGGCGGCGUGCCUAAUACAUGCAAGUCGAGCGGAGCGGACUUGCGGAAGUCUUCGGAUGGAAGCAGGUUUGCUCAGCGGCGGACGGGUGAGUAACACGUAGGCAACCUGCCCGUAAGACGGGGAUAACUAGCGGAAACGUUAGCUAAUACCGGAUAGGUCCCUCGGGCGCAUGCUUGAGGGAGGAAAGGCGGAGCGAUCUGCCGCUUACGGAUGGGCCUGCGGCGCAUUAGCUGGUUGGUGAGGUAACGGCUCACCAAGGCGACGAUGCGUAGCCGACCUGAGAGGGUGAUCGGCCACACUGGGACUGAGACACGGUCCAGACUCCUGCGGGAGGCAGCAGUAGGGAAUCUUCGGCAAUGGACGGAAGUCUGACCGAGCAACGCCGCGUGAGUGAGGAAGGCCUUCGGGUCGUAAAGCUCUGUUGCCAGGGAAGAAGAGCGGGGAGAGUCACUGCUCCCCGAUUGACGGUACCUGAGAAGAAAGCCCCGGCUAACUACGUGCCAGCAGCCGCGGUAAUACGUAGGGGGCGAGCGUUGUCCGGAAUUAUUGGGCGUAAAGCGCGCGCAGGCGGUUCCUUAAGUCUGGUGUAUAAGCCCAGGGCUCAACCUUGGGACGCACGGGAAACUGGGGGACUGGAGUGCAGGAGAGGGAAGCGGAAUUCCACGUGUAGCGGUGAAAUGCGUAGAGAUGUGGAGGAACACCAGUGGCGAAGGCGGCUUUCUGGCCUGUAACUGACGCUGAGGCGCGAAAGCGUGGGGAGCAAACAGGAUUAGAUACCCUGGUAGUCCACGCCGUAAACGAUGAAUGCUAGGUGUCAGGGUUAAGAACCCUUGGUGCCGAAGUUAACACAUUAAGCAUUCCGCCUGGGGAGUACGGUCGCAAGACUGAAACUCAAAUGAAUUGACGG
This 937-nucleotide ribosomal RNA is filed under the name uncultured bacterium. RNAcentral describes it as "bacterial SSU rRNA". It matches the Rfam family "Bacterial small subunit ribosomal RNA", at positions 8 to 916 of the family's 1533-position model. The record is from RNAcentral.